CCUACGGGUGGCUGCAGUAGGGAAUUUUCGUCAAUGGGCGCAAGCCUGAACGAGCAAUGCCGCGUGAACGAGGAAGGUCUUCGGAUCGUAAAGUUCUGUUGAAGGGGAAGAAGAGCGAAGAGAGGAAAUGGUCUCCGAUUGAUAUUACCCUUCGAGGAAGUCACGGCUAACUACGUGCCAGCAGCCGCGGUAAUACGUAGGUGGCGAGCGUUAUCCGGAUUGAUUGGGCGUAAGGGGUGCGUAGGCGGCCUGCUAAGUCUGGAGUGAAAGGUACCGGCUCAACCGGUACAGGCCCUGGAAACUGGCGGGCUAGAGAGCAGGAGAGGGCGGUGGAACUCCAGGUGUAGCGGUAAAAUGCGUAGAGAUAUGGAAGAACACCAGUGGCGAAGGCGGCCGCCUGGCCUGUUACUGACGCUGAGGUACGAAAGCGUGGGGAGCAAAUAGGAUUAGAUACCCUUGUAGUC
This 464-nucleotide ribosomal RNA is filed under the name uncultured bacterium. RNAcentral's name for it is "partial 16S ribosomal RNA". It matches the Rfam family "Bacterial small subunit ribosomal RNA", at positions 338 to 795 of the family's 1533-position model. The record is from RNAcentral.